This 604-nucleotide ribosomal RNA is filed under the name Leclercia sp. RNAcentral describes it as "bacterial SSU rRNA". It matches the Rfam family "Bacterial small subunit ribosomal RNA", at positions 831 to 1435 of the family's 1533-position model. The record is from RNAcentral. Lineage: Bacteria; Pseudomonadati; Pseudomonadota; Gammaproteobacteria; Enterobacterales; Enterobacteriaceae.
CUUGAGGAGUGGCUUCCGGAGCUAACGCGUUAAGUCGACCGCCUGGGGAGUACGGCCGCAAGGUUAAAACUCAAAUGAAUUGACGGGGGCCCGCACAAGCGGUGGAGCAUGUGGUUUAAUUCGAUGCAACGCGAAGAACCUUACCUACUCUUGACAUCCAGAGAACUUAGCAGAGAUGCUUUGGUGCCUUCGGGAACUCUGAGACAGGUGCUGCAUGGCUGUCGUCAGCUCGUGUUGUGAAAUGUUGGGUUAAGUCCCGCAACGAGCGCAACCCUUAUCCUUUGUUGCCAGCGGUUAGGCCGGGAACUCAAAGGAGACUGCCAGUGAUAAACUGGAGGAAGGUGGGGAUGACGUCAAGUCAUCAUGGCCCUUACGAGUAGGGCUACACACGUGCUACAAUGGCGCAUACAAAGAGAAGCGACCUCGCGAGAGCAAGCGGACCUCAUAAAGUGCGUCGUAGUCCGGAUUGGAGUCUGCAACUCGACUCCAUGAAGUCGGAAUCGCUAGUAAUCGUAGAUCAGAAUGCUACGGUGAAUACGUUCCCGGGCCUUGUACACACCGCCCGUCACACCAUGGGAGUGGGUUGCAAAAGAAGUAGGUAGCU